CCCUUAGAUGUUCGGGGCCGCACGCGCGCUACACUGAUGCAUUCAACGAGUCUAAAACCUGGUCUGAUAGGGCUGGGUAAUCUUUUGAAUGUGCAUCGUGAUUGGGAUAGAUGAUUGCAAUUCUUCAUCUUCAACGAGGAAUGCCUAGUAAACGCAAGUCAUCAGCUUGCAUUGAUUACGUCCCUGCCCUUUGUACACACCGCCCGUCGCUCCUACCGAUUGAAUGUUCCGAUGAAUACCAUGGACUGAGAGUAUGAAUGGGUUCGCCUAUUUCUGCUUCUCGGGAAGUGGAGUAAAUCUUAACAUUUAGAGGAAGGAGAAGUCGUAACA
This 330-nucleotide ribosomal RNA is filed under the name uncultured eukaryote. RNAcentral describes it as "partial 18S ribosomal RNA". It matches the Rfam family "Eukaryotic small subunit ribosomal RNA", at positions 1470 to 1796 of the family's 1831-position model. The record is from RNAcentral.